UACGAAGGGGGCUAGCGUUGCUCGGAAUGACUGGGCGUAAAGGGCGCGUAGGCGGCGUGUUUUGUCGGGCGUGAAAUUCCAGGGCUUAACCUUGGGGCUGCGUUCGAGACGGGCAUUCUUGAGUAUGGAAGAGGGUCGUGGAAUUCCCAGUGUAGAGGUGAAAUUCGUAGAUAUUGGGAAGAACACCGGUGGCGAAGGCGGCGACCUGGUCCAAGACUGACGCUGAGGCGCGAAAGCGUGGGGAGCAAACAGG
This 253-nucleotide ribosomal RNA is filed under the name uncultured bacterium. Its description in RNAcentral is "partial 16S ribosomal RNA". It matches the Rfam family "Bacterial small subunit ribosomal RNA", at positions 524 to 776 of the family's 1533-position model. The record is from RNAcentral.